Long non-coding RNA from Sapajus apella (tufted capuchin), 1460 nucleotides. RefSeq lists it as uncharacterized. The transcript has 2 exons. NCBI's taxonomy places the organism in Eukaryota, Metazoa, Chordata, Mammalia, Primates, Cebidae. The record is from RefSeq and is a predicted model, not a curated record.
UUCUGGGAUUACAGGUGUAAGCCACUGUGCCCAGCUGUAUUUAUUGAAUUAUUAUUAUUUUCAGUCUUGGAGUUGAAGAUAAGUAAAACUCAGUUAAGACCCAGAUGCUACCACUUCCUAACUUAAAUAGAUAUUUGUAAAAUUAUCCAAGCCUUUAAAUAGAAAAUGAAAAUAAGAAUAAUUAUGAAAUAUAAAAUCUAUGUUCACCUAAUAUGAUUUUUUUGAGAAUUGAAUGAGAGCAUAUAUGAAGACCCAAAUGCAGUUCCUGGACACAAUAAGUGUUCAAUAACUAUUAGAUAUCUGGGUUUCCAUCCUCUUGAUAAGAAAUGGACAAGGCCAUUCUCAUAUCCCAAUUCUGUGAUACACCUGGGCGAAAUUCUGCAUCUUGUCAGCCAACAUACCUUAGCCAUUUAUUCCUGAAGGAGACCUUUGGAAUGACAGGAGGGCACAUGAGUUUGACCAUGGUUCUGUAGUGCUUGCCUAAGGAGACGAUGAGACACAAUCAAUUCCAGUUUGCCUGUGGCAAAAUAAGUUAAAAAUUGAAAAUUUGAGUUGAUGAAUAGGAAGUAGGAGGGCAGUCAGUCUAACAAAUUGGUAAAUGUAACUAGCCCUUUGGGUCUAAUAUUGGAAUCUGGUACUUGGAAGAUGUAUUGUUUUGAUUUUUGUAUGUACAUUGUUGUUCUUUUCUGAUUCAGUAAAUUCUGUGUUAGCUAUGGUAAGUGAAACAAAAGGAAAGCAUUGGUGCAAUUUUGCCCUCAUGGGAAUUGGUCUACUUUGUUGAAGCUAGCUUGAGGUGUCAUUGGGAAUGUGGAUGCUAGAGCCCCACUCUCGGUCAGUACCAUUUAUGUAACUGACCCCAAAUUAAAAAUAGUUACUCCCUCUUUUUUAUUCAAACCAUUUUGUAUCCUGAGUAAGGUGGCUUCUGUACGUGCCCUAGAAAGAUUUUCCUCAUUUGUAUAGUCACAAAGGCAAGCGUCUCAAAACUGGGCAUCUUUCAAUACCACUUAAGCCUUCCUUUACGGUGUAGCAAACAGCUGAGAGGAAACAUGUGGUCAACUCUUAACUGUAGUGCCGUCAGAAAUCCCGGUCUCCAUAUUUCCUGCGGUGUCUGCCCUAGUACUUGCCUUUUAAUUAUGGCCACCCGCAGUUUUACCUUUGAAAGCCAAUGUUUGAUGUGCAAGACUAAGCUUAAGAGAAAGCAAAAGUUGAUGCUAUAAUAAAUUUGUUUCUGGAAAAAAAAAAAAAGAGUCUCCAGCAAAGUUAUUUUUAGAUAAUGUGUUUACUGGUUAUUCAUGUGAACUGUGUCAAAAAAAGUUACCUUUAUAUAGGAUUAAUUUAAAUAGAAUAUUUGGAUAAAAUAGACACCACAUAAAGGCAGAAGAGUUGCUGUUUCUCUAUACACAUGGCAUUGGAUUUCAUGCAAAUGGUAUAUUUGAAAGGAAAGAAUAUAAUCAUUUAAA